UAAGUUUGUUAAUAAUGUUUCGCUUAAUGACUUUCCAUAAGUACGUCAUACUAUAAUUUUUUUACAACAAUCUUGAUUGAUGAAUUUUUUGACACGAUAUGGAAAAGUGAAUUUCUAAUCAAUACUAUGUGAACACAGGAUAACCGGUAACAUGCAUAGGACAUCCAUUAAACGUCUGGGCAUCCGCAGGGCGUCUUUAAACGUCCAGUGCCCACUGGAUGCAAUAUAUUACAUUGUACAAUUGAAAAUUCUCUAUGUAAGGAUGUUACAAGUUGUUCUGCAGGAGUUCACAUACUUAUACAGGUAAAAGAAAAACAACAUUAAUUGCAUUAUUAAAAAAAAAGAAAAAUUAAAUAAAAAAAGCUCAUACUAAUCAACAGGUUCAAACACAAAACUUUGAAGAUGAAGUUUAUGAAUCAGUUGGACAUGACUUUAAUCAAGAAAAUUCAUCUGAAAAUAAUAAGGAUGUAAAUGAAAUAUUCUUAAAAGACAGCUUCAAUAAUAUCAAACUAAACACUUUUCCAUUUAUUAUCAUUAAACAGAAUUAAAUAAAGAUCACAAUUAUCAUAAAGAUAGCACUCUUAAAUUCAACAUAUCUCUUGUUGUUACAUUUGCAAUUGUAUCUGCUUUCCUUCAAUAUUUGAUCAAAUCUAAUUACUUGACUCCAAAAAUAGCUAAUUUAUAAUGCGAUCCUAAAAUAAUUUGGAGAGGCAGAUAGGAGGUUAUGGUUAAAGUAUUAAUUAUUAAAGUACUAAAUAAAGGCAUAUCUAAAGAUGGAAAAAAAGACCCUUAUCUAAUUUACAUUCAAGAUUCAGUUAUUAAAACAUUUUGUCGAAGAAUAAAAAACAUAAGUUUUAAUUCAAAACCAGAUGAAAGCUAUUUGACCCAUUGCUCACCUUCAAAGGGUCCAAACAAACCAGUUAUAAAAGCUGCAUUCGGUCUUUAUAACUGAAUGGUUGCUAGAGGAACCGAUCAUGCUAUAAUGGUGAUUGGAUCAGAAUCCACAAAUCAAAGGUCUUAGUUUAUUUAAACAGCCAAACUUAAGUAUGCUGUAAGAAAUUCUAUUCAAAAUGAGGCAUUUCAUGUUCAUCUGAGUCUCUUCUAAUAUCUCUUCUUGCAAGCUCAUCAAAAAAAAUAGAACUUUUGUAGUCAAGAUGAAUAUGAAAGUUAGAGAAGAUUCAGAGCAAAGUGAUGUAAGUGCAAGAAACCGAAAAAAAAUUACACUUAACUUUUAUGCUGUGGCUCUCCUUAAACUUAUUGAUUGUUUACAUUAUUAGUAAUGAACAAAUUUUGCAGCCGAAUUUUACAUGCAAUAUGGCAAAAAAAGAUUUAAAAAAGUAAUAGAUUCUUCUAUGGAAGUACCUUACUACCCUCUUCACACAAAAUUUUGUGAAAGAGUUGCUAAAAAAAACUGUUUAGCUUGAUGGUCAAGCUUGAUUUUUAUAAAAAUUUUAUUUUUCAUCAAAA
This is a non-coding RNA of Hydra vulgaris (swiftwater hydra), 1467 nucleotides long. Lineage: Eukaryota; Metazoa; Cnidaria; Hydrozoa; Anthoathecata; Hydridae. The record is from RefSeq and is a predicted model, not a curated record.